Molecule: ribosomal RNA, 93 nt
Organism: Tissierellia bacterium KA00581
Lineage: Bacteria; Bacillati; Bacillota; Tissierellia
Source: Rfam
UAUGGCGAGGAUAGCAAAGGGGAUACACCCGUUCCCAUCUCGAACACGGAAGUUAAGCCCUUUAACGUCGAUGGUACUAGUACAUUUCGUACU